Non-coding RNA from Triticum aestivum (bread wheat), 106 nucleotides. NCBI's taxonomy places the organism in Eukaryota, Viridiplantae, Streptophyta, Magnoliopsida, Poales, Poaceae. The record is from Rfam.
UUACUACUCCCUCCGUUCCGAAUUACUCGUCGCAGAAAUGGAUGUAUCUAGAGUUGUAGAUACAUCCAUUUCUGCGACGAGUAAUUCAGAACGGAGGGAGUAUGCU